CAGCUGCUAGAGCUGUUUAAUGCUGGGACAGUGGGACAAGGCGCUUUAGUGCGGAGCGCGGCGGCCGGAGCAGCACCUCCCGCAAGAAGCAGCAGCCACCGCAAACACAACUCUGAGCCAAGAGCACAAAGAGCCCCGACCAUUUCGCGGUGACUGAUUUAUGGCGUUUUACAACCCCAUAAAAAGCUGUAACAACCAGCCAAAAGCCUUCGACACCGCUGGCACAUUUAGUCUAAUAAAUAAAACAUAAACAGUUAA
Pezoporus flaviventris is the source of this 258-nucleotide long non-coding RNA. RefSeq lists it as uncharacterized. Lineage: Eukaryota; Metazoa; Chordata; Aves; Psittaciformes; Psittacidae. The record is from RefSeq and is a predicted model, not a curated record. The transcript is spliced from 2 exons.